RNAcentral lists this ribosomal RNA (404 nucleotides) under uncultured bacterium. Its description in RNAcentral is "bacterial SSU rRNA". It matches the Rfam family "Bacterial small subunit ribosomal RNA", at positions 74 to 477 of the family's 1533-position model. The record is from RNAcentral.
UUGCUGCUUUGCUGACGAGUGGCGGACGGGUGAGUAAUGUCUGGGAAACAGCCUGAUGGAGGGGGAUAACUACUGGAAACGGUAGCUAAUACCGCAUAACGUCGCAAGACCAAAGAGGGGGACCUUCGGGCCUCUUGCCAUCGGAUGUGCCCAGAUGGGAUUAGCUAGUAGGUGGGGUAACGGCUCACCUAGGCGACGAUCCCUAGCUGGUCUGAGAGGAUGACCAGCCACACUGGAACUGAGACACGGUCCAGACUCCUACGGGAGGCAGCAGUGGGGAAUAUUGCACAAUGGGCGCAAGCCUGAUGCAGCCAUGCCGCGUGUAUGAAGAAGGCCUUCGGGUUGUAAAGUACUUUCAGCGGGGAGGAAGGGAGUAAAGUUAAUACCUUUGCUCAUUGACGUUA